GUCUGAGCUCAGUAACAAGGGCUUUUGACCUAUGUGGGGACAUUGAGAUGGUGGAACAUUGGCCCGUCCCACUGGUCGGAUCUGUUGUAGCAAGUUCUGGGAUGCCCAGUCCAAGCUGAAAGUGAAUCUUGUUUGUUGAGGGAAGGCUUGACUCAGGAGGUUCCUAAAGAGGUGUGAGGCUGGUUUCACUGAGCAGCUCUCACCUUCCUCUCUCGGUAAUGGACGGAUCACAGCUCGAAGCCACUCAGAUCUAGCAUGGCUUGGUGGCUUGUACCCAGCUUAACCACCAUCUUU
RNAcentral lists this signal recognition particle RNA (294 nucleotides) under Brassica napus (rape). RNAcentral's name for it is "SRP RNA Plant_SRP". It matches the Rfam family "Plant signal recognition particle RNA". The record is from Rfam by way of RNAcentral. Lineage: Eukaryota; Viridiplantae; Streptophyta; Magnoliopsida; Brassicales; Brassicaceae.